AUCAACAACAUUUGGAAAAUUAAAUACAUCAAUGGGAAAUACACAAUCAGCAGGAACAACAUUUGUGAAUUCUUCAACAACGUCUUCAAAUACCUCUUCAACUACCCCUUCAGCAAACUCUUCGACAGUCAAGUCUUCAACUUGGAGGGUACCAUUGUUAAGCAAGACCUGGAUACCCUGCUGCAGCUUCAAGCAAUCCUUACCCUGUGUAGUGCAUUCCGAACAACCUUUCCCACAACCGGGGAAGACAUCGGCCUUCAACAAGCAUUCCUUAAUUUCCCACAACGGGGUCUUCAACUUCAACACAUCCUUAACAGACUUGGCUUCUCC
RNAcentral lists this long non-coding RNA (330 nucleotides) under Lathyrus oleraceus (garden pea). Its description in RNAcentral is "Pisum sativum (pea) long non-coding RNA (PSAT_LNC012015)". The record is from RNAcentral. Lineage: Eukaryota; Viridiplantae; Streptophyta; Magnoliopsida; Fabales; Fabaceae.